GCAGGUGUGGCGGAAUUGGUAGACGCGCAGCGUUCAGGGCGCUGUGGAUCAUUGAUCCAUGGGGGUUCGAGUCCCUUCAUCUGCACCA
This 88-nucleotide transfer RNA is filed under the name Candidatus Woesebacteria bacterium. RNAcentral's name for it is "tRNA-Leu". It matches the Rfam family "tRNA". From Rfam's summary of the family: Transfer RNA (tRNA) molecules are approximately 80 nucleotides in length. Their secondary structure includes four short double-helical elements and three loops (D, anti-codon, and T loops). Further hydrogen bonds mediate the characteristic L-shaped molecular structure. tRNAs have two regions of fundamental functional importance: the anti-codon, which is responsible for specific mRNA codon recognition, and the 3' end, to which the tRNAs corresponding amino acid is attached (by aminoacyl-tRNA synthetases). tRNAs cope with the degeneracy of the genetic code in two manners: having more than one tRNA (with a specific anti-codon) for a particular amino acid; and 'wobble' base-pairing, i.e. permitting non-standard base-pairing at the 3rd anti-codon position. Lineage: Bacteria; Candidatus Woeseibacteriota. The record is from RNAcentral.